Molecule: ribosomal RNA, 491 nt
Filed under: uncultured bacterium
Lineage: Bacteria
Description: partial 16S ribosomal RNA
Rfam family: Bacterial small subunit ribosomal RNA
Source: RNAcentral
AGUGAACGCUGGCGGUAGGCCUAACACAUGCAAGUCGAACGGCAGCACAGUAAGAGCUUGCUCUUACGGGUGGCGAGUGGCGGACGGGUGAGGAAUACAUCGGAAUCUACUUUUUCGUGGGGGAUAACGUAGGGAAACUUACGCUAAUACCGCAUACGACCUACGGGUGAAAGCAGGGGAUCUUCGGACCUUGCGCGAUUGAAUGAGCCGAUGUCGGAUUAGCUAGUUGGCGGGGUAAAGGCCCACCAAGGCGACGAUCCGUAGCUGGUCUGAGAGGAUGAUCAGCCACACUGAACUGAGACACGGUCCAGACUCCUACGGGAGGCAGCAGUGGGGAAUAUUGGACAAAGGGCGCAAGCCUGAUCCAGCCAUACCGCGUGGGUGAAGAAGGCCUUCGGGUUGUAAAGCCCUUUUGUUGGGAAAGAAAAGCAGCAGGUUAAUACCCCGCUGUUCUGACGGUACCCAAAGAAUAAGCACCGGCUAACUUCGUG